Molecule: unclassified non-coding RNA, 148 nt
Organism: Papio anubis (olive baboon)
Lineage: Eukaryota; Metazoa; Chordata; Mammalia; Primates; Cercopithecidae
Rfam family: Metazoan signal recognition particle RNA
About the family: The signal recognition particle (SRP) is a universally conserved ribonucleoprotein.
Source: Ensembl
GCCAGGCGUUGUGGCGUGUGCCUGUGGUCCCAGCUAUUUGGGAGGCUGAGGUGGGAGGAUUGCUUGAGCCCAGGAGGUUGAGGGUGCAGUGAGCUGAGAUCUCGCCACUGCGCUCCAGCCUGGGUGACAAAGUGAGAUCCCGUCUCAA